RNAcentral lists this ribosomal RNA (103 nucleotides) under Salmonella enterica. The record is from RNAcentral. Lineage: Bacteria; Pseudomonadati; Pseudomonadota; Gammaproteobacteria; Enterobacterales; Enterobacteriaceae.
GCGCGGUGGUCCCACCUGACCCCAUGCCGAACUCAGAAGUGAAACGCUGUAGCGCCGAUGGUAGUGUGGGGUCUCCCCAUGCGAGAGUAGGGAACUGCCAGGC